GUUAUAUGGUCAAGUGAAGAAGCGCAUACGGUGGAUGCCUUGGCAGUCAGAGGCGAUGAAAGACGUGGUAGCCUGCGAAAAGCUUCGGGGAGUCGGCAAACAGACUGUGAUCCGGAGAUGUCUGAAUGGGGGAACCCAGCCAUCAUAAGAUGGUUAUCUUACGCUGAAUACAUAGGCGUAAGAGGCGAACCAGGGGAACUGAAACAUCUAAGUACCCUGAGGAAAAGAAAUCAACGGAGAUUCCCUUAGUAGUGGCGAGCGAACGGGGACCAGCCCUUAAGUUGUAUUGAGAUUAGCGGAACACUCUGGAAAGGGUGGCCAUAGUGGGUGAUAGCCCUGUACGCGAAAAUCCCUUUGCAAUGAAAUCGAGUAGGACGGGGCACGAGAAACCUUGUCUGAAUAUGGGGGGACCAUCCUCCAAGGCUAAAUACUACUGACUGACCGAUAGUGAACCAGUACCGUGAGGGAAAGGCGAAAAGAACCGCGGAGAGCGGAGUGAAAUAGAUCCUGAAACCGUAUGCGUACAAGCAGUGGGAGCCCACAUUGUUGGGUGACUGCGUACCUUUUGUAUAAUGGGUCAGCGACUUAUUUUCAGUGGCGAGCUUAACCGAAUAGGGGAGGCGUAGCGAAAGCGAGUCUUAAUAGGGCGUCUAGUCGCUGGGAAUAGACCCGAAACCGGGCGAUCUAUCCAUGGGCAGGUUGAAGGUUGGGUAACACUAACUGGAGGACCGAACCGACUACCGUUGAAAAGUUAGCGGAUGACCUGUGGAUCGGAGUGAAAGGCUAAUCAAGCUCGGAGAUAGCUGGUUCUCCUCGAAAGCUAUUUAGGUAGCGCCUCAUGUAUCACUGUAGGGGGUAGAGCACUGUUUCGGCUAGGGGGUCAUCCCGACUUACCAAACCGAUGCAAACUCCGAAUACCUACAAGUGCAGAGCAUGGGAGACACACGGCGGGUGCUAACGUCCGUCGUGAAAAGGGAAACAACCCAGACCGUCAGCUAAGGUCCCAAAGUCAUGGUUAAGUGGGAAACGAUGUGGGAAGGCUUAGACAGCUAGGAGGUUGGCUUAGAAGCAGCCACCCUUUAAAGAAAGCGUAAUAGCUCACUAGUCGAGUCGGCCUGCGCGGAAGAUGUAACGGGGCUCAAACCAUGCACCGAAGCUACGGGUAUCAUCUUUUGAUGAUGCGGUAGAGGAGCGUUCUGUAAGCCUGUGAAGGUGAGUUGAGAAGCUUGCUGGAGGUAUCAGAAGUGCGAAUGCUGACAUGAGUAACGACAAUGGGUGUGAAAAACACCCACGCCGAAAGACCAAGGUUUCCUGCGCAACGUUAAUCGACGCAGGGUUAGUCGGUCCCUAAGGCGAGGCUGAAAAGCGUAGUCGAUGGAAAACAGGUUAAUAUUCCUGUACUUCUGGUUAUUGCGAUGGAGGGACGGAGAAGGCUAGGCCAGCCUGGCGUUGGUUGUCCAGGUUUAAGGUGGUAGGCUGAGAUCUUAGGUAAAUCCGGGAUCUUAAGGCCGAGAGCUGAUGACGAGUGUUCUUUUAGAACACGAAGUGGUUGAUGCCAUGCUUCCAAGAAAAGCUUCUAAGCUUCAGGUAACCAGGAACCGUACCCCAAACCGACACAGGUGGUUGGGUAGAGAAUACCAAGGCGCUUGAGAGAACUCGGGUGAAGGAACUAGGCAAAAUGGCACCGUAACUUCGGGAGAAGGUGCGCCGGUGAGGGUGAAGCAUUUACUGCGUAAGCCCACGCCGGUCGAAGAUACCAGGCCGCUGCGACUGUUUAUUAAAAACACAGCACUCUGCAAACACGAAAGUGGACGUAUAGGGUGUGACGCCUGCCCGGUGCCGGAAGGUUAAUUGAUGGGGUUAGCGCAAGCGAAGCUCUUGAUCGAAGCCCCGGUAAACGGCGGCCGUAACUAUAACGGUCCUAAGGUAGCGAAAUUCCUUGUCGGGUAAGUUCCGACCUGCACGAAUGGCGUAACGAUGGCGGCGCUGUCUCCACCCGAGACUCAGUGAAAUUGAAAUCGCUGUGAAGAUGCAGUGUAUCCGCGGCUAGACGGAAAGACCCCGUGAACCUUUACUAUAGCUUUGCACUGGACUUUGAAUUUGCUUGUGUAGGAUAGGUGGGAGGCUUUGAAGCGUGGACGCCAGUUCGCGUGGAGCCAACCUUGAAAUACCACCCUGGCAACUUUGAGGUUCUAACUCAGGUCCGUUAUCCGGAUCGAGGACAGUGUAUGGUGGGUAGUUUGACUGGGGCGGUCUCCUCCUAAAGAGUAACGGAGGAGUACGAAGGUGCGCUCAGACCGGUCGGAAAUCGGUCGUAGAGUAUAAAGGCAAAAGCGCGCUUGACUGCGAGACAGACACGUCGAGCAGGUACGAAAGUAGGUCUUAGUGAUCCGGUGGUUCUGUAUGGAAGGGCCAUCGCUCAACGGAUAAAAGGUACUCCGGGGAUAACAGGCUGAUACCGCCCAAGAGUUCAUAUCGACGGCGGUGUUUGGCACCUCGAUGUCGGCUCAUCACAUCCUGGGGCUGAAGCCGGUCCCAAGGGUAUGGCUGUUCGCCAUUUAAAGUGGUACGCGAGCUGGGUUUAGAACGUCGUGAGACAGUUCGGUCCCUAUCUGCCGUGGACGUUUGAGAUUUGAGAGGGGCUGCUCCUAGUACGAGAGGACCGGAGUGGACGAACCUCUGGUGUUCCGGUUGUCACGCCAGUGGCAUUGCCGGGUAGCUAUGUUCGGAAAAGAUAACCGCUGAAAGCAUCUAAGCGGGAAACUUGCCUCAAGAUGAGAUCUCACUGGAACCUUGAGUUCCCUGAAGGGCCGUCGAAGACUACGACGUUGAUAGGUUGGGUGUGUAAGCGCUGUGAGGCGUUGAGCUAACCAAUACUAAUUGCCCGUGAGGCUUGACCAUAUAACACCCAAGCAAUU
This 2918-nucleotide ribosomal RNA is filed under the name Pseudomonas tremae. RNAcentral describes it as "23S ribosomal RNA". It matches the Rfam family "Bacterial large subunit ribosomal RNA". The record is from RNAcentral. Lineage: Bacteria; Pseudomonadati; Pseudomonadota; Gammaproteobacteria; Pseudomonadales; Pseudomonadaceae.